AUCCGACAGGGUUUGAUGGCUGCCUUAGGUCGGAUAGAAAGAGAGAGCUUUGAUGACAUUUCUAGUGAACCCAAAAAAGGUCGAAGAGGCCAGCGUAAAAGCACAGAAAGGGAAGCAACUUGUCCACAAGUUUGAUGUUCAAAUAGUGGGAUUUUUUUCCCAGUUUCUAGUUUUGAGUUCCCCUAGUUCAGCUACUCAAGGGCAAAUCAAUGGGGGCAAGUCUACGAGGAAGGGUCUAUGUCCUUUUUUUACAAAACAAAGUAUGUCUCUAUACGCAAUUUAAUCAAACUUUAUACAUCUCUGUGAAGAAAGAAAAGUAGGCACUUUUAAGGCCAGUGUGGAGUAGCUAGAACGGAUGGGAGGUAGUUCUUCCUACAUUGGGUGGCUGAUAGAUCGAAUCGCCGAAUCAGAAAAAUUGGGUGCUAUCAUAAAGCUUUGUAUCAGCUAAGUUCACGAGUUAGAGAUAAGCGGACUCGAACCGCUGACAUCCGCCGCAGGGUAAACCACCGCCUCUCAGGUAUCCGACAGGGUUUGAUGGCUGCCUUAGGUCGGAUAGAAAGAGAGAGCUUUGAUGACAUUUCUAGUGAACCCAAAAAAGGUCGAAGAGGCCAGCGUAAAAGCACAGAAAGGGAAGCAACUUGUCCACAAGUUUGAUGUUCAAAUAGUGGGAUUUUUUUCCUAGUAGCUAGUUUUGAGUUCCCCUAGUUCAGCUACUCAAGGGCAAAUCAAUGGGGGCAAGUCUACGAGGAAGGGUCUAUGUCCUUUUUUUACAAAACAAAG
Molecule: long non-coding RNA, 780 nt
Filed under: Capsicum annuum
Lineage: Eukaryota; Viridiplantae; Streptophyta; Magnoliopsida; Solanales; Solanaceae
Description: long non-coding RNA (CANN_LNC017791)
Source: RNAcentral